AUUGAACGCUGGCGGCAUGCCUUACACAUGCAAGUCGAACGGCAGCAUGAUCUAGCUUGCUAGAUUGAUGGCGAGUGGCGAACGGGUGAGUAAUACAUCGGAACGUGCCCUGUAGUGGGGGAUAACUAGUCGAAAGAUUAGCUAAUACCGCAUACGACCUGAGGGUGAAAGUGGGGGACCGCAAGGCCUCAUGCUAUAGGAGCGGCCGAUGUCUGAUUAGCUAGUUGGUGAGGUAAAGGCUCACCAAGUCGACGAUCAGUAGCUGGUCUGAGAGGACGAUCAGCCACACUGGGACUGAGACACGGCCCAGACUCCUACGGGAGGCAGCAGUGGGGAAUUUUGGACAAUGGGCGAAAGCCUGAUCCAGCAAUGCCGCGUGUGUGAAGAAGGCCUUCGGGUUGUAAAGCACUUUUGUCCGGAAAGAAAUGGCUCUGGUUAAUACCUGGGGUCGAUGACGGUACCGGAAGAAUAAGGACCGGCUAACUACGUG
This 490-nucleotide ribosomal RNA is filed under the name uncultured bacterium. Its description in RNAcentral is "partial 16S ribosomal RNA". It matches the Rfam family "Bacterial small subunit ribosomal RNA", at positions 30 to 507 of the family's 1533-position model. The record is from RNAcentral.